RNAcentral lists this ribosomal RNA (393 nucleotides) under uncultured bacterium. Its description in RNAcentral is "partial 16S ribosomal RNA". It matches the Rfam family "Bacterial small subunit ribosomal RNA", at positions 523 to 918 of the family's 1533-position model. The record is from RNAcentral.
AUACGGAGGAUGCGAGCGUUAUCCGGAUUUAUUGGGUUUAAAGGGAGCGUAGGUGGGAUAUUAAGUCAGCUGUGAAAGUUUGGGGCUCAACCUUAAAAUUGCAGUUGAUACUGGUUUCCUUGAGUACGGUACAGGUGGGCGGAAUUCGUGGUGUAGCGGUGAAAUGCUUAGAUAUCACGAAGAACUCCGAUUGCGAAGGCAGCCUGCUGGACUGUAACUGACGCUGAUGCUCGAAAGUGCGGGGAUCGAACAGGAUUAGAUACCCUGGUAGUCCGCACAGUAAACGAUGAAUACUUGUUUUCGGCGAUAUAAUGUCGGAGGCAAAGCGAAAGCGAUAAGUAUUCCACCUGGGGAGUACGCCGGCAACGGUGAAACUCAAAGGAAUUGACGGGG